GCCCUAGUAACGGCGAGUGAAGCGGCAACAGCUCAAAUUUGAAAUCUGGCUCCUUGGGGCCCGAGUUGUAAUUUGCAGAGGAUGUUUCGGGUGCGGCACCGUUCUAAGUUCCUUGGAACAGGGCGUCAUAGAGGGUGAGAAUCCCGUACGUGACCGGUCGCCAAUCCCAUGUGAAGCUCCUUCGACGAGUCGAGUUGUUUGGGAAUGCAGCUCAAAAUGGGUGGUAAAUUUCAUCUAAAGCUAAAUACUGGCCAGAGACCGAUAGCGCACAAGUAGAGUGAUCGAAAGAUGAAAAGCACUUUGGAAAGAGAGUUAAAAAGUACGUGAAAUUGUUGAAAGGGAAGCGCUUGCAACCAGACUCGCCCGGGGUGAUCAGCCGUCCUUCUGGGCGGUGCACUUUCUCUCGGGCGGGCCAGCAUCGGUUCGGGCGGUUGGAUAAAGGCUCCAGGAAUGUAGCUCCUCUCGGGGAGUGUUAUAGCCUGGGGUGCAAUGCAGCCAGCCUGGACCGAGGACCGCGCUUUUGCUAGGAUGCUGGCGUAAUGGUUGUCAGCGACCCGUCUUGAAACACGGACCAAGGAGUCGACCAACUGCGCGAGUGUUUGGGUAUAAAACCCGCACGCGUAAUGAAAGUGAACGGAGGUGAGAGCCCUCACGGGUGCAUCAUCGACCGAUCCUGAUGUCUUCGGAUGGAUUUGAGUAUGAGCGUAGCUGGUCGGACCCGAAAGAUGGUGAACUAUACGUGAAUAGGGUGAAGCCAGAGGAAACUCUGGUGGAGGCUCGCAGCGGUUCUGACGUGCAAAUCGAUCGUCAAAUUUGCGUAUAGGGGCGAAA
This 831-nucleotide ribosomal RNA is filed under the name Ostropomyces pruinosellus. RNAcentral describes it as "partial large subunit ribosomal RNA". It matches the Rfam family "Eukaryotic large subunit ribosomal RNA", at positions 77 to 928 of the family's 3401-position model. The record is from RNAcentral. Lineage: Eukaryota; Fungi; Ascomycota; Lecanoromycetes; Ostropales; Stictidaceae.